RNAcentral lists this unclassified non-coding RNA (3496 nucleotides) under Amphibalanus amphitrite. Its description in RNAcentral is "protein pangolin, isoforms A/H/I/S-like, transcript variant X21". Lineage: Eukaryota; Metazoa; Arthropoda; Thecostraca; Balanomorpha; Balanidae. The record is from RNAcentral.
GCGCGGCAAGACGUGCAGCAGUGAUUUUUUUUUCGCUCGUGGGUGUGACGCGCAGGCAAGGGAGCUAUGGCGAGACGUUCAGUGUUGAUCAGUGAAAGAGAUGGGAGUCGGCGAGAUCGACAGCGGGGGAUUCGCACUCGGCGAAGGAAGUUGGAGGCUAGAGGACCGGCAGCAGGUGACCCAAGGGGAAGGGAGUCAAGAACAACAGCCGGGAAAGGUGCCUCUGCACCCGCCGGGUAUCUCGCCGUUCUUCUACUCUGGAGAUUCACUGUCGCAGCCCCCGCCCGCCCACAUGGGUAUACCGUCGUACCCGCUGGAUCCCAAACCAGGGAUGGCGCGGGCUCCGGUGUACCCGUUCACACCAGUCUCCUCCCACUGCGCGUACCCGCCAUUAGGCGCGCCCGACCUGCCGCCGUGGAAUUCUCCGGCGCUCUACCCCUCCACCUCUGGCGCGUUUCGGUCAGCCUACUCUGGCCUGCCCUCCAGUCUACACAGGUUUUCUCCUGGCCUGCUGCCUCACAGUUUACCGCCCCACCUGCUCCACCCCGAGUACCUCAAACACAACGGAGACAACCGGCAUAACGCGGACGUGAAACCGGUCAUAUCUGCACCACCCCCCGGCUCCGGCUCCAAACAGCAGCAAACCAAUGGUCAGGAGCCGGUGUCUGACGCUGCCCGCCUGUGCCGAGCAGAGAAGAAGAAGUGUCACAUCAAGAAGCCUCUGAACGCCUUCAUGCUGUACAUGAAGGAGAUGCGAGCCAAAGUGGUAGCCGAAUGCACUCUGAAGGAAUCGGCAGCCAUCAACCAGAUCCUCGGCAGACGGUGGCACGCGCUCAACCGUGACGAACAGUCCAAAUACUACGAAAUGGCGCGAAAGGAGCGCCAGCUACACAUGCAAAUGUACCCGGGCUGGUCGGCGCGGGAUAAUUAUGCCCAGUCUAAGAAGAAGAAGCGUAAAAGGGAUAAGGUGGACGGAGGUGAGUUAGAAGCCCAGAUGAAGAAGUGCCGGGCCCGAUACGGUCUGGAGCAGCAGGACCAGUGGUGCAAACCGUGCAGGCGGAAAAAGAAGUGCAUACGCUACAUGGAGGACGGCGAGGGAGGAGGCGAGGACGGCGAUGGUGACGGAGAGGACGCCACAGACGACGAGGACGGCAUGGAUUCCUCCGGAAAUGGCGACGACGCCCAGACGCCCAACUCGGGGUCGACGGACGACCAAGCGGCCACCAACUCACCCUCGGUGUCAAUGUCGAGUCUGGCCAGUCCCGGGUACUCAGUGACCUCGCUGCUCAGUCCCAGCCCCAUGGCGCCCAGUCCAAAGACGCCAGGAGGGGUCAUGGUGAACGGUGUCGGCGACGCGGCGGCGGCGGCGGCGGCGGCGCCCGUCACCUCGGCCGGCUCGGGCGGGUCGUCGGUACCGUCACCGGCGUUCCAGCAGCCGCGCACGCCGGUGGGAGCCAACCCGCGAGACGUCAACAACCCCCUGUCGGUGGGCCAGCUGACCAACAGCUCACCGCGCCCCUGCCAGCCGCUGGGCGGGCCCGCCGGCGCGCCGCGCACCGGCCAGCCGCCAGCCGCCUCUUGCGUGAGCGUCACGUGACCUGCGGAGCCGCCGCGCGCCGCCGCCUAGCGUCGGUCACGUGACACCCACUGUGCCAUAUGUAGGUGUAACGCCAGUGCCGAAUCCAGGUGCAAUUGCUGCCGAGGCGCCCCCUGCCGCCGCUGGCCGCAGAGGUGCUGCCAGAGUGGCGCGCUCUUCGGCGCCCUAAGUGUACCCCGCUUCCUGAUUGUGCUUACAGAAUGUGAUAUUGCUUGAGCCCACGUGACGCGGUGGUUCUGGCGCCGCCGCUCUGGUGGACUGGCGAGCGCGCGCCGGCGCCGACGGCGCCCGUUGUUUUGCUCAGUGCGUGUGUGCGCCGGUCGGGCGGCGGGCGCCGACUCGGGGCGCCCUGCGGGGGCGCCGGCGCCCGUCACAAACCGAUCGAGAUGUUAUAUUUUGGUAUCGCGCGCUUUCAUUGGAGCCGGAAGGUGCGGCCUGUUCUGUUGAUAGCGCAAGGCUCGAAGUAGAUACCAUGUUGGAGACAGGUCCUGGCCGUUUAGUUUUGCGACUCCCUAAAAUGCGCCCGAAACUUUACCUCAUUUCAGCUUAACAUCCAUUCCAUAUUGACUUGUAAAUAGAGGAUUUUUAUGGUGAAUCAUAGUGUACAUUGUGUGUGUGUGUGUGUGUGUGUGUGUUUGUGUGUGAGAGAAUGUGUAGGGCGUGUCUCAUCCGUAAUGGGGGUUUUGUUUGUGAUUGCUUGGUAAGAGUCCUUGUGUCAUAGCGGCGUAACUAAUGCUUCUCAUAGUGGCCGAGAGAUGGCGGGCGCAGCGCGCCGACCGGUCACGCUGUCACGUGACUCGGGCACGGACGCGUUUUAUUGGGUGUUUCUGUUUUGCUACCUGCAUUGUGGCGCUGUUCAUGUACAAAAUUCAGAGAAGACUGAGUGCUGGACGGACUAUUCUUGUAUUCUGUACGGGCAUCGCACUUUUGACAUCUGUUAUCAGACCUCUCACCGAUAGCCCGCGUAUUCGUUCUGGUGGCCACGCCCGAAAGUGCAUCGAGAUUGUAGGCACGUGUAGAGCGAUUUUUCUGAGCUUCAAGAGUGUCACUUGGUUAGCUGUUGCUGGAUAGUGAUCAUGUUUCGCCAGAUUGGCAUUUCAAGAAAAUGUAUGACGUUUUUUAUGUUUGGUUUGUCGCAAUGUGCUCACCACGAGAUUUGGGGAUUAUCUGGAGAGUUUCAAUCGUGCAGUUGUCAAACUUAAAAGUUCUCGGGAAGUUUGACAGUUUUCCCAUUGUCAGCAUAUUCGGUACUAGGUCGCUGCUGUGUUACCUGAGCUUGUUUGCGAGUGGCUGUUACGAACAGGAACCCAGUAGGAAGAAACUUACGCCUCUUCAUUUUCAGGAUAAUGCGUGCUAUAUUUUACCUAAAUUACUGCAAUAUUAAUAGUAUCGUUGACAACGUAAAAUCGAAUGGUAUCAGACUACUGAAAUUUAUAGACCGAAAAGUGUCUAUGGUCUGCGGACAAAAGUGCCAAAUGUCUUCACGGAGUGGGAUGUGUAAUACCUGAGCGUUCGCCCGUUUUACUAUAGGGCCAUUUCAACGAUACAAUGACAUUCGAAAUCAGUAGACAUCACAUCACCGAAUCACGUCAUCGGAACGUAGUGACAUCAUGCGAGCUACGUCAUUGUUCUAUCGUAUAUGACGUCAUUUGUGGGGCCGAUGACGUCACUCUUGACAAUCAAUUUUGGAGGCAAUAGUGGUGCACAUGGCGCCCCUUCGAACGGCGGCUCCUGCAGAUGUGACGUCACGUGAGUGUAGGUGUGUGCGUGACGUCAUACCGCGCGCGUGUGUGACGUCAUAUGGUGUGUGGUGACGUCAUUACUGGUUUGUAACGAUCUCCCGGCGAGGGCAUGCUGAUGAAUGCUUGUGGUGCAGAGAAAUACAGUGUUUACAUACGA